Molecule: ribosomal RNA, 484 nt
Filed under: uncultured bacterium
Lineage: Bacteria
Description: partial 16S ribosomal RNA
Rfam family: Bacterial small subunit ribosomal RNA
Source: RNAcentral
AUUGAACGCUGGCGGCAUGCCUUACACAUGCAAGUCGAACGGCAGCACGGGAGCAAUCCUGGUGGCGAGUGGCGAACGGGUGAGUAAUACAUCGGAACGUGCCCAAUCGUUGGGGAUAACGCAGCGAAAGCUGUGCUAAUACCGCAUACGAUCUACGGAUGAAAGCUGGGGACCGCGAGGCCUUGCGCGAAUGGAGCGGCCGAUGGCAGAUUAGGUAGUUGGUGGGGUAAAGGCUCACCAAGCCAACGAUCUGUACCUGGUCUGAGAGGACGACCAGCCACACUGGGACUGAGACACGGCCCAGACUCCUACGGGAGGCAGCAGUGGGGAAUUUUGGACAAUGGGCGCAAGCCUGAUCCAGCCAUGCCGCGUGCAGGAUGAAGGCCUUCGGGUUGUAAACUGCUUUUGUACGGAACGAAACGGCCUUUUCUAAUAAAGAGGGCUAAUGACGGUACCGUAAGAAUAAGCACCGGCUAACUACGUG